This 329-nucleotide ribosomal RNA is filed under the name uncultured eukaryote. Its description in RNAcentral is "partial 18S ribosomal RNA". It matches the Rfam family "Eukaryotic small subunit ribosomal RNA", at positions 1470 to 1796 of the family's 1831-position model. The record is from RNAcentral.
CCCUUAGACGUCCUGGGCCGCACGCGUGCUACACUGAUACGUACAACAAGGUAUAUGCAUUCAUGCAUCGAUGCUGCUCCGAAAUAGACACAGCUAAAUCUUCUAAAAUACGUAUCGUGCUGCGGAUAGAUCGUUGAAAUUAUGGAUCUUGAAGGUGGAAUUCCUGGUAAGCGCGGGUCAUCAACCCGCGUUGAUUACGUCCCUGCCCUUUGUACACACCGCCCGUCGCUCCUACCAAUUUCGAGUGGCUCGGUGAACCUCUUUGGACUGUCGAGCAAUCGCGAAAUUAGAGUGAACCUGGUCACUUAGAGGAAGGAGAANUCGUAACA